RNAcentral lists this ribosomal RNA (700 nucleotides) under uncultured Bacillota bacterium. RNAcentral describes it as "bacterial SSU rRNA". It matches the Rfam family "Bacterial small subunit ribosomal RNA", at positions 78 to 761 of the family's 1533-position model. Lineage: Bacteria; Bacillati; Bacillota. The record is from RNAcentral.
GCUUGCUCCUCCUGAUUCAGCGGCGGACGGGUGAGUAACACGUGGGCAACCUGCCCUGUAGAUUGGGAUAACUCCGGGAAACCGGGGCUAAUACCGAAUAAUCCACCGGACCUCAUGGUCUGGUGUUGAAAGACGGCAUCUCGCUGUCACUACAGGAUGGGCCCGCGGCGCAUUAGCUAGUUGGUGAGGUAACGGCUCACCAAGGCCACGAUGCGCAGCCGACCUGAGAGGGUGAUCGGCCACACUGGGACUGAGACACGGCCCAGACUCCUACGGGAGGCAGCAGUAGGGAAUCUUCCACAAUGGACGAAAGUCUGAUGGAGCAACGCCGCGUGAGUGAAGAAGGUUCUCGGAUCGUAAAACUCUGUUGUGAGGGAAGAACAAGUACCGGAGUAACUGCCGGUACCUUGACGGUACCUCAUUAGAAAGCCACGGCUAACUACGUGCCAGCAGCCGCGGUAAUACGUAGGUGGCAAGCGUUGUCCGGAAUCAUUGGGCGUAAAGCGCGCGCAGGCGGUCCCUUAAGUCUGAUGUGAAAGCCCACGGCUCAACCGUGGAGGGUCAUUGGAAACUGGGGGACUUGAGUGCAGAAGAGGAAAGCGGAAUUCCAAGUGUAGCGGUGAAAUGCGUAGAGAUUUGGAGGAACACCAGUGGCGAAGGCGGCUUUCUGGUCUGUAACUGACGCUGAGGCGCGAAAGCG